This 1162-nucleotide unclassified non-coding RNA is filed under the name Cimex lectularius (bed bug). Its description in RNAcentral is "histone chaperone asf1, transcript variant X1". Lineage: Eukaryota; Metazoa; Arthropoda; Insecta; Hemiptera; Cimicidae. The record is from RNAcentral.
GAUCAGAAAUAUUGAAAACGUAAAUUGCAUUCCAUGUACCGAAUAAUCGUUAUCAAUUUCGUUUCUACUGCGGUAAAAUCACUUUUCAUUUCUAUUUUUACGAUACGAUGCUAAAAAUUAGAUCAGAUUCUCCGACUUUUUCGGAACGUGGUAAUAUUUUGCCGCCAAAUAGCGAGUACUUUGUUUAGUGCUCAUUCGAAGUCGUUCUCGGCUCUUCUAUGUACGGGUUUCUUUUCGAUCUUUUCAGUCGGUGCUUUAUUUAAACUAUAGCUGAAACGAAAAUCGUAAAAAAACCAUCAAAAAACAGGUUACACACAAAAUAAACUCAAAUUGUUCAAAAUGGCCAAAGUGCAAAUAGGCAACGUUAUCGUUUUGGACAACCCGGCAUCAUUCUUGACACCGUUCCAAUUUGAAUUAACUUUCGAGUGUAUCGAAGAACUGAAAGAAGACUUGGAAUGGAAAAUGAUAUACGUAGGCUCAGCCGAGAGCGAAGAAUAUGACCAAGUCUUGGAUACAAUAUACGUUGGACCUAUACCUGAGGGGAGACAUAUGUUCGUUUUUCAGGCAGAUGCACCUGAUGUCACUAAAAUUCCUGUCGAGGAUGCUCUAGGUGUUACCGUUUUACUUUUAACAUGUAGUUACAGGGGUCAAGAAUUUGUCCGAGUAGGUUAUUUUAUUAACAAUGAAUAUUCUGAUCUUGAGCUUAGGGAGAAUCCUCCAGCAGUCCCACAGUUUGAUAAGGUCGUUAGGAAUAUUCUGGGAACGGAACCAAGAGUGACAAGAUUUAAAAUAAAUUGGGAUGAUUCAGAAACGCAGGACCAAUCGGGUGAAGAAGAACAAACCGAUGAACAAUCCCAACAGCAGUCCGAAUCUGUUGGCUUUACAGAAAAUAACAGCAGCCAUCCUAUGGAAGUUGUUUAAAUUACCAUAGAAGAGAAAGUUGAAUAAAGUUAAUAGGCUUAUGACAAGUGAAACCUUUCGGCUGAAAUAAUUGCAAGAAAAUUCUGCAGACAAUUCCCUAAGAGGAAUUACAAGAAAACAAUCUGUUGAAAUGUGCAUUGAAUCAUGGGAAAAGUGGUUUUGUGGCCAGAACGCGAUUCCAACCGAAACACGUUCAGGUGGAUUCAGGGACCGAUGUGGCCUAGGAAUACAGUUUAACUUG